GAUCAUGGCUCAGGAUGAACGCUAGCUACAGGCUUAACACAUGCAAGUCGAGGGGCUGCAUGGUCUUAGCUUGCUAAGGCUGAUGGCGACCGGCGCACGGGUGAGUAACACGUAUCCAACCUGCCGUCUACUCUUGGCCAGCCUUCCGAAAGGAAGAUUAAUCCAGGAUGGCAUCAUGAGUUCACAUGUCCGCAUGAUUAAAGGUAUUUUCCGGUAGACGAUGGGG
Molecule: ribosomal RNA, 226 nt
Filed under: uncultured bacterium
Lineage: Bacteria
Description: partial 16S ribosomal RNA
Rfam family: Bacterial small subunit ribosomal RNA
Source: RNAcentral